GCUCGAAUGGCGGAAUUGGCAGACGCUGUGGACUUAAAAUCCGUUGAAUAAUAAUUCGUGAGGGUUCAAGUCCCUCUUUGAGUA
This 84-nucleotide transfer RNA is filed under the name Lactococcus formosensis. RNAcentral describes it as "tRNA-Leu". It matches the Rfam family "tRNA". Rfam says of the family: Transfer RNA (tRNA) molecules are approximately 80 nucleotides in length. Their secondary structure includes four short double-helical elements and three loops (D, anti-codon, and T loops). The record is from RNAcentral. Lineage: Bacteria; Bacillati; Bacillota; Bacilli; Lactobacillales; Streptococcaceae. RNAcentral also lists the same sequence under 1 other name.